Molecule: ribosomal RNA, 693 nt
Filed under: uncultured bacterium
Lineage: Bacteria
Description: bacterial SSU rRNA
Rfam family: Bacterial small subunit ribosomal RNA
Source: RNAcentral
GGAUAACACUUAGAAAUAGGUGCUAAUACCGCAUAAGCGCACGGUUCCGCAUGGAACAGUGUGAAAAACUCCGGUGGUAUACGAUGGAUCCGCGUCUGAUUAGCCAGUUGGCGGGGUAACGGCCCACCAAAGCGACGAUCAGUAGCCGGCCUGAGAGGGUGAACGGCCACAUUGGGACUGAGACACGGCCCAAACUCCUACGGGAGGCAGCAGUGGGGAAUAUUGCACAAUGGGGGAAACCCUGAUGCAGCGACGCCGCGUGAGUGAAGAAGUAUCUCGGUACGUAAAGCUCUAUCAGCAGGGAAGAAAAUGACGGUACCUGACUAAGAAGCCCCGGCUAACUACGUGCCAGCAGCCGCGGUAAUACGUAGGGGGCAAGCGUUAUCCGGAUUUACUGGGUGUAAAGGGAGCGUAGACGGCAGCGCAAGUCUGGAGUGAAAUGCCGGGGCCCAACCCCGGAACUGCUUUGGAAACUGUGCAGCUCGAGUGCAGGAGAGGUAAGCGGAAUUCCUAGUGUAGCGGUGAAAUGCGUAGAUAUUAGGAGGAACACCAGUGGCGAAGGCGGCUUACUGGACUGUAACUGACGUUGAGGCUCGAAAGCGUGGGGAGCAAACAGGAUUAGAUACCCUGGUAGUCCACGCCGUAAACGAUGAUUACUAGGUGUCGGGGGGCCAAGGCCCUCCGGUGCCGCCG